This 423-nucleotide ribosomal RNA is filed under the name Edwardsiella ictaluri. RNAcentral's name for it is "bacterial SSU rRNA". It matches the Rfam family "Bacterial small subunit ribosomal RNA", at positions 66 to 476 of the family's 1533-position model. The record is from RNAcentral. Lineage: Bacteria; Pseudomonadati; Pseudomonadota; Gammaproteobacteria; Enterobacterales; Hafniaceae.
GCGGUAGCAGGGAGAAAGCUUGCUUUCUCCGCUGACGAGCGGCGGACGGGUGAGUAAUGUCUGGGGAUCUGCCUGAUGGAGGGGGAUAACUACUGGAAACGGUAGCUAAUACCGCAUAACGUCGCAAGACCAAAGUGGGGGACCUUCGGGCCUCAUGCCAUCAGAUGAACCCAGAUGGGAUUAGCUAGUAGGUGGGGUAAUGGCUCACCUAGGCGACGAUCCCUAGCUGGUCUGAGAGGAUGACCAGCCACACUGGAACUGAGACACGGUCCAGACUCCUACGGGAGGCAGCAGUGGGGAAUAUUGCACAAUGGGCGCAAGCCUGAUGCAGCCAUGCCGCGUGUAUGAAGAAGGCCUUCGGGUUGUAAAGUACUUUCAGUAGGGAGGAAGGUGUGAGCGUUAAUAGCGUUCACAAUUGACGUU